UGGAAAGCGAAUAAGGGCGCAUAGGGGAUAUCUGGGCAACUGGUGCCGAAGAAAGACGUGUCACACUGCGAAAAGCUCUGGUGAGGUGUGUGAGACCGCAAGAACUAGAGAUAUCUGAAUGGGGAAACCCGGUAGGGGUCAUGCCCUACCAUUCCGAGAGGAAAGGGAACCCGGGGAACUGAAACAUCUCAGUACCCGGAGGAAAAGAGAAGAUUCUGCGAGUAGUGGCGAGCGAAAGCGGAAGAGCCCAAACCGGUCAGUUUACUGAUCGGGGUUGUAGGACACCAGAAGCGGACAUGGAAGGCUGCGGAAUAACCUGGGAAGGUUAACCGAAGAGGGUGAGAGUCCCGUAGGCAGACGGAAGUGAAAGCGGGUGUAUCCUGAGUACCACGGCGUACGCUAAUGUUGUGGGAAGCUGGGCCGCCCACGGUCCAAGGCUAAAUACACCAGUUGACCGAUAGUGAAAAAGUACCGUGAGGGAAAGAUGAAAAGAACCCCGGCGAGGGGAGUGAAAGAGAACUUGAAACUGUGCGCUUACAACCGGUCGGAGGGGGGCAACCCCUGACGGCGUGCCUUUAGGAGAAUGAGCCAGCGAGUCAAUUCAUGUGGCGAGCUUAAGGCAGUGACAGCCGAAGGCGAAGCGAAAGCGAGUCUGAAUAGGGCGUCAAGUGGCAUGAAUUGGACACGAAACCGUGUGAGCUAACCAUGGGCAGGCUGAAAGUGCGGUAACACGCACGGGAGGGCCGAACCCACCAAUGUUGCAAAAUUGGGGGAUGACCUGUGGUUAGAGGUGAUAUGCCAAACGAACACGGAGAUAGCUUGUUCUCCCCGAAAUAGCUUUAGGGCUAGCGUUGCGUGAUAAGUGAUGGAGGUAGAGCACUGAAUGGGCUAGGGGGCGUCUAGCUUACCGAACCCAAUCAAACUCCGAAUGCCAUCAUAUUUAACGCAGCAGUCGGACGGUGGGAGAUGAGUUUCAUCGUCGAAAGGGAAACAACCCAGACCCCCAGCUAAGGUCCCGAAGUGUAUGUUAAGUGGAAAACGAUGUGAUUGUGUCGAGACAGCCAGGAGGUUGGCUUAGAAGCAGCCACCCUUUAAAGAGUGCGUAACAGCUCACUGGUCAAACGCAGUUGCGCGGAUAAUGUAACGGGGCUCAAACAUACCACCGAAGCUAGGGAUAUCGAGAGAUAUGGUAGGGGAGCGUUGAACGAGCGGCGAAGGCGGCCUGGCAAGGGUCGUUGGAGCGAGUUCAAGUGCGAAUGCUGGCAUGAGUAGCGAGAAAUGCGUGAGAACCGCAUUGGCCGAAAGUCUAAGGUUUCCGACGGAAGGUCAGUCCGCGUCGGGUUAGUCGGGCCUAAGCCGAGGCCGAGAGGCGUAGGCGAUGGACAACGGGUUAAUAUUCCCGUACCAGUAACAUGUUGGUGAGGAAACUCUGGAGGAAGCUCAGCCACUGAGUGGAUUGUGGUUGCAAGCGGGGGAAGCCCGCGAUGCCGUGCCAUAAUGGCAAGAAGUGAGACGUACUCCGGGGCGAGAAAAGACCGAACUGUAAAUGUUAUUGACCGUACCGCAAACCGACACAGGUAGACGGGUAGAGGAUACUAAGGCCAACGGGAGAACCUUCGUUAAGGAAUUAGGCAAAAUGGAUCCGUAACUUCGGGAUAAGGAUCACCCCUGAGAGGGGGUCGCAGUGAAAAGGCUCUGCCGACUGUUUACCAAAAACACAGGUCUCUGCCAAGCCGAAAGGCGAAGUAUAGGGGCUGAAGCCUGCCCAGUGCCGGAAGGUUAAGUGGACGUGUGCAAGCACUGAAAUGAAGCCCCGGUGAACGGCGGCCGUAACUAUAACGGUCCUAAGGUAGCGAAAUUCCUUGUCGGGUAAGUUCCGACCCGCACGAAAGGCUUAACGAGUGGAGCACUGUCUCAACGAAGGACCCGGCGAAAUUGAAGUAUGCGUAAAAAUGCGUAUUACCUGCAGCAGGACAAAAAGACCCCGUGGAGCUUUACUGUAGCCUGUCAUUGCGUUAGGGUACAACUUGUGUAGGAUAGCUGGGAGACUAGGAAGCGUGGACGCCAGUCUGCGUGGAGUCGCCGUUGAAAUACCAGCCUGGUUGCACUUUGACCCUAACCCGCCCUUUCACAGAGGGGGGGACAGUGACUGGUGGGCAGUUUGACUGGGGCGGUCGCCUCCUAAAGAGUAGCGGAGGCGCCCAAAGGUUGGCUCAGACGGAAUGGAAACCCGUCAAAGAGUGUAAAGGCAAAAGCCAGCUUGACUGGGAGAGAGACACCUCGACCAGAGACGAAAGUCGGGCUUAGUGAUCCUACGGCGCUGAGUGGAAAGGCCGUAGCUUACCGGAUAAAAGCUACCCCGGGGAUAACAGGCUAGUCUUGUCCAAGAGUUCACAUCGACGACAAGGCUCGGCACCUCGAUGUCGGCUCAUCGCAUCCUGGGGCUGGAUAGGGUCCCAAGGGUUGGGCUGUUCGCCCAUUAAAGCGGUACGUGAGCUGGGUUCAGACCGUCGUGAGACAGGUCGGUCUCUAUCCGCUGCAGGCGUUGGGAAUUUGAGAGGAGCUGCCCCUAGUACGAGAGGACCGGGGUGGACGAAGCGCUCGUGUGCCAGUUGUCACGCCAGUGGCAUAGCUGGGUAGCGACCUUCGGAUGGGAUAACCGCUGAAAGCAUCUAAGUGGGAAGCCCACCUCAAGACGAGAUUCCCCAUCCCGUAAAGGGAGUAAGACCGCUGGAAGACGACCAGUUGGAUAGGCGGGGGGUGGAAGCGCAGUAAUGUGUGUAGCUGACCCGUACUAAUGGUCGAGGGCUUUUGAUU
This 2817-nucleotide ribosomal RNA is filed under the name Phototrophicus methaneseepsis. RNAcentral's name for it is "Bacterial large subunit ribosomal RNA". It matches the Rfam family "Bacterial large subunit ribosomal RNA". Lineage: Bacteria; Bacillati; Chloroflexota; Candidatus Thermofontia; Phototrophicales; Phototrophicaceae. The record is from Rfam by way of RNAcentral.